GAUCUUGUUACUUAAAUAAAAAAUAUAAAAAAAUUUAAAAAAGUUAAAAAAAAGAAAGAGGCGGUAUAGUAAAUGCACCCCAUAUACACCUCAACACAGGCCCUUUGUCUGGUCUGUACUGUGAAUUGGGGGACAAAA
Small nucleolar RNA from Suncus etruscus (white-toothed pygmy shrew), 138 nucleotides. RefSeq annotates it as small nucleolar RNA SNORA51. The record is from RefSeq and is a predicted model, not a curated record. NCBI's taxonomy places the organism in Eukaryota, Metazoa, Chordata, Mammalia, Eulipotyphla, Soricidae. The transcript has a single exon.